Molecule: ribosomal RNA, 853 nt
Filed under: uncultured bacterium
Lineage: Bacteria
Description: bacterial SSU rRNA
Rfam family: Bacterial small subunit ribosomal RNA
Source: RNAcentral
CGCGAGCGGCAGGCCUAAUACAUGCAAGUCUGACGGGAUUGGGGAGCUUGCUCCCCAUGAGAGUGGCGCACGGGUGCGUAACACGUAUGUAACCUACCUUUAUCAGGGGGAUAGCCUCUCGAAAGAGAGAUUAAGCCCGCAUAAAAUCACAGACUGGCAUCAGAUAAUGAUCAAAUAUUUAUAGGACAAAGAUGGGCAUGCGGAACAUUAGCUAGUUGGUAAGGUAAUGGCUUACCAAGGCUACGAUGUUUAGGGGAUCUGAGAGGAUGGCCCCCCACACUGGUACUGAGACACGGACCAGACUCCUACGGGAGGCAGCAGUAAGGAAUAUUGGUCAAUGGACGGAAGUCUGAACCAGCCAUGCCGCGUGCAGGAAGACGGCCCUACGGGUUGUAAACUGCUUUUGCAGGGGAAUAAACCCCGGUACGUGUGCCGGGCUGAAUGUACUCUGAGAAUAAGGAUCGGCUAACUCCGUGCCAGCAGCCGCGGUAAUACGGAGGAUCCAAGCGUUAUCCGGAUUUAUUGGGUUUAAAGGGUGCGUAGGUGGCCUGUUAAGUCAGGGGUGAAAGACGGUAGCUUAACUAUCGCAGUGCCCUUGAUACUGAUGGGCUUGAAUGAACUAGAGGUAGGCGGAAUGUGACAAGUAGCGGUGAAAUGCAUAGAUAUGUCACAGAACACCAAUUGCGAAGGCAGCUUACUAUGGUUUUAUUGACACUGAGGCACGAAAGCGUGGGGAUCAAACAGGAUUAGAUACCCUGGUAGUCCACGCCCUAAACGAUGAAUACUCGAUGUUGGCGAUAUACAGUCAGCGUCUAAGCGAAAGCGUUAAGUAUUCACCUGGGAGAUCACUAGU